GGUCUUGGAGGGGAAAAAAAAAAACCUCACAUAUUAACAUCUUCAUUCACCAUAGAGGGCAACUCAUAAAAGAAGUGCUAUUACUAUGAGAGCAAUUUAUCCACAUGAUGCCAAAAUCUACUCCCAGAGACAUGGUAAGUUUUCUAAGUUCUUCCCAAGUUUCUGACUUAGAAAGUCUUUGUGCAUAGAUUUCUGAUAUGCUAUCAUUCAAUAUGGUGAAGGAAAUAGAAAGUCUUCAUGCAAGAAAAAGUGAAAACCAGCUUUCUUUGACUCAGCCUAUAGGUAUUAGACGGUCAGAACAUCAUGGGUUCAUUAUCGCUAAGAAGGAACUUCCCUGAAACACCCCUUCUCCCUAAAAAUCCAGCAAGAGAAAGGCCGAUGGUAGCAUAUCUACUAAUAUUGGCGAGGAAAAUUUUGGGUAAAAUGAGGAACCAGGUAUAGCUAUAGAGGGAAAGAUAGUAGGCUACCUCCUGUUAUGUAUUCCAAUCAACAGACAAAAAGAUAAACAAAAGAAAAGAUAUAUUGUGUUUCAUUAAAGAAAAAACUGAUAUGCCGCAAACUAAAAGUAAUGAUACUACCAGAGUAAGUUUCCUAUGGUGACAAAAUGAUGAAAAAACUGGAUUUAGCUUUUCUCAAACAUGUGACCAUAAAUCAUGUGUAUCAGGGAAAUACUUGAAUUCAUGAAGCAAAAGCAGGAUAAGAAACAACAGCUUAAAGAUGAUCACACUCCUAAGAUUGGCAGAACUUGACAUUCUGUUAGAAUCUAGAAACUUCAACCUCUUCAUUCAGCAGUAAAGAAUAAAAGUGGUUCUCAUUGAGGAUCAUUCACAUAUUCUUCAUGUAUUUCAUUGUGCCAUAUCAUUAAAAAUCAUUUGAUACACCAAACAGGUGACCAUCAUUAAUUGAUGGGUUGCAUUUUUUCUACCAACGGAUAGACAAAAAAAUUGGCUGCAUGGGCAUGUGUGAGGUUCACCAUGCGGAGGAUUAAGACCAGUGAAAGCUGAAAACAAAUUUAUUGAGACAGACCUUCAAGCAUUUUACUUUGAGCCAAAAAGCAGCAUGGAAGUUGAUAAAUCCCAAUGAUAGAUACAAAGGUAACAACAAACUGCUGUAAUUACCAAGCUUAUUCAAAGAUCCCUAGCAAUCACUCAGCAGCACAGGAAUACAGAGUUACAUCACCUUGUUCAAAAAAAAUUAUCAAGGUCAAGAAUUUGGUGAAAUUCUCCUACAAGCCCAUGGGGGAUGCUUUUUAUUGUAUCCUUAAGAAGUCAUAUGGUAUGUUUUGAGCAAUCCAGGUAAAAGUUACGUGUAGAUUAGAACAACCUCAAACAAGAAGAGUAAGCCAUUGUUAGAAGAUUGAAUUGCUCAAAUGAUAAACUCAGGUUUUGUGACUACUGAACUAUGCAACUAUUUUUUUUAAAAUGUCAGAGAAAGCAAAUAGAAUAAGUUAAAAAUCUUAACCACCACCAUCCCACAGAAAGAAGAACCUUUCCAGACAAAAAUCGCAUCAGUGCAAAUGCUAAAAUUCAUCUCAAAAUUCACGAAUGCUCAACCCAGCUAUGUAAAGGAAUGGGUUCUUGGAAAAGAGAAGGAAAACUC
RNAcentral lists this unclassified non-coding RNA (1599 nucleotides) under Hevea brasiliensis (rubber tree). The record is from RNAcentral. Lineage: Eukaryota; Viridiplantae; Streptophyta; Magnoliopsida; Malpighiales; Euphorbiaceae.